Entelurus aequoreus (snake pipefish) is the source of this 653-nucleotide long non-coding RNA. RefSeq lists it as uncharacterized. The record is from RefSeq and is a predicted model, not a curated record. Lineage: Eukaryota; Metazoa; Chordata; Actinopteri; Syngnathiformes; Syngnathidae. The transcript has 3 exons.
CCAUUGAAGGAGCAUAUGUGGGUUAGAGUUGAACAUAUGGUCGGCCUGACCAUUGUACAAAAUGUUUUCAUUGUUUAUUAUGGCUAAGGGAUUCAAGGAUGUUGCAGAACAAACAGGUCCAAAACAACUGGACCUUGACACACGAGGGAAACACAUAGAUGGUCAAGUAGACCAAGUCUAUGGAUGAUUGGCAUGAUUCUUGAUUCAUCCAACGUCUCCGGAGGACGUCGUUUGUUUGCAUGGCAAUUCAAUCCAACCUUGUACCAUUUGAUUAUGUACUAAAUUCACUUUUGUUGCUGUUUAAGAUUCGGACAUUCCACCACAUAAAAUUGGCGUCACGAACAGGAUGGUCUAGAACGCUGCAGGUCGACAUCCGCUCCCGGUCUGUCAAGGCAGACAGAGGUUGCACUGUGUGCACAUCUAAAGAUCAGCCCUUCCCAGGACCAGCAGCUCCCUUGGAAGGAAGAAUCAGCAUAAGACCAAAAUGAUUCCCUUCUACCCGCCGGGAGGGUCAGGGUCAAAGUCGGAUCCCAGACCUGUUACCGAUACCUGACUGGGAGGAAUCGGGAGAGGAGAGACAACACCCGAUACCUGACUGGGAGGAACCUCAGAGGAGAGAAAACACCUGGCCAGCGAUGACGAAAACGACUAAG